This 700-nucleotide ribosomal RNA is filed under the name uncultured Nitrospira sp. RNAcentral's name for it is "bacterial SSU rRNA". It matches the Rfam family "Bacterial small subunit ribosomal RNA", at positions 61 to 755 of the family's 1533-position model. Lineage: Bacteria; Pseudomonadati; Nitrospirota; Nitrospiria; Nitrospirales; Nitrospiraceae. The record is from RNAcentral.
GUCGAGCGAGAAGACGUAGCAAUACGUUUGUAAAGCGGCGAACGGGUGAGGAAUACAUGGGUAACCUACCCUCGAGUGGGGAAUAACUAGCCGAAAGGUUAGCUAAUACCGCAUACGACUCUCGGUCUGCGGAUCGAGAGGGAAAGCGAUACCGUGGGUAUCGCGCUCAUGGAUGGGCUCAUGUCCUAUCAGCUUGUUGGUGAGGUAACGGCUCACCAAGGCUUCGACGGGUAGCUGGUCUGAGAGGACGAUCAGCCACACUGGCACUGCGACACGGGCCAGACUCCUACGGGAGGCAGCAGUAAGGAAUAUUGCGCAAUGGGCGACAGCCUGACGCAGCGACGCCGCGUGGGGGAUGAAGGUCUUCGGAUUGUAAACCCCUUUCGGCAGGGAAGAUGGAACGGGUAACCGUUCGGACGGUACCUGCAGAAGCAGCCACGGCUAACUUCGUGCCAGCAGCCGCGGUAAUACGAAGGUGGCAAGCGUUGUUCGGAUUUACUGGGCGUACAGGGAGCGUAGGCGGUUGGGUAAGCCUUUCGUGAAAUCUCCGGGCCUAACCCGGAAAGUGCGGAGGGGACUGCUCGGCUAGAGGAUGGGAGAGGAGCGCGGAAUUCCCGGUGUAGCGGUGAAAUGCGUAGAGAUCGGGAGGAAGGCCGGUGGCGAAGGCGGCGCUCUGGAACAUAUCUGACGCUGAGGCUCG